Molecule: long non-coding RNA, 830 nt
Organism: Dermochelys coriacea (leatherback sea turtle)
Lineage: Eukaryota; Metazoa; Chordata; Testudines; Dermochelyidae
Exons: 4
Source: RefSeq, a predicted model, not a curated record
GGGGCCUGAAAUAAAUGUAAAGAAAAUUUUUUUUGAUAUAUUUAAUGGAGAAGUGAUGAAUAUCAAGAAAUACAAAUUAUUUUCUUUGUGGAGGAGAAAUUGUGACACAGCUGUAAAAAUAUGAGGUGCGUGACUGAGAUCUCAUCACUGCAAACAUAAAUGACCUCUGGAAGAACUUAAAUGGCUAGACUUCAAAGAAAACCCACAGAUUCUAUCCUUUGUCCAGUUACCAAGGUUCAAUAGUGAUCGUGAGAGUGGUUCGGUGGUUGAUCCUGUAUAAGAUUGUCACAUGAACCCAAACUGUCCUCAAUGUUGUUUGAGUUGUUAGAAUUCAAAAUUAAUGCGAUCAGCCAUCACAGAAGUCCUUCUUCCAGUUGAUUUGGAGAUGACAUCCAAGUAUAGGUCUCCAUUACUCAAAUUGUUCAUUUGACUUAAUACAUGUGUACUGCCUAACAAAUAUACAGAGUUGGGUAUUAUAGGAAAACUUCACAUGGAGCCAGACAAAACACUUCCAGUAGGAUCAGAACACAGAAGCACGAAACAUUGUCCCAACAUUUAACAUGUUUUUAUGUGUUUAGAGACAGUUCAUUAUCAUUUGAAAAUCCUAUUUUCACAAUUGCAAAGACUGACUUGUGCAACAUCAGGAACAGUGCCAGAUUUAAUUGUUUUCUAAGAAGACCAGAUGUGGAAAUUAUGAUUACUGACUCUUUUUUUUUUGUCAUUUUAUCAUCCUGCCUAACAUGUUUGUUGGUCUAGCUGAGGCAGUUUCAUUCAUAGGCUACUGAUAAUUCAAAAUACUGGAUGCUAACUGGUGACUAGUACUAAAUUAU